Molecule: long non-coding RNA, 395 nt
Filed under: Gossypium barbadense (sea-island cotton)
Lineage: Eukaryota; Viridiplantae; Streptophyta; Magnoliopsida; Malvales; Malvaceae
Description: long non-coding RNA (GBAR_LNC011642)
Source: RNAcentral
UAUGCAAGUAUACUAACAAUGAUGUUGUUUGAUGCUUAGACAAGUGUCAAGCUAUUGAUUGAAUGGUAACAUGUUUAAUUAUAAGAAGUAUUGAAAUGGUAAGUACCUAGAUGAAAAUAAAAUUUAAGAUUUUGCGAAAUUUUUUUUAUGAUCCCGAUUUAAUUCUGGUUGGUUUUUAAUGUAUGUUUGGGGCUUCGAUGGCCUAAUAGAGAGACGUUAUGAUUAUUUUCAAAAUAUGAAUAAUAAAUGACUCAGAAUUAUCUGAAAAUAUUCAGUAAACUCCGGUAAUGCCUAUACAUAUUCCGGCAAUGGAUACGUGUAGGGGGUGUUACACAGAGAGUUGGGGCUCUCACGAGUGGCUCCUCGCACGGCCUCCUUCGCACGUUUCCUCUGUA